This 945-nucleotide ribosomal RNA is filed under the name Triticum aestivum (bread wheat). RNAcentral describes it as "partial small subunit ribosomal RNA". The record is from RNAcentral. Lineage: Eukaryota; Viridiplantae; Streptophyta; Magnoliopsida; Poales; Poaceae.
AUGAAGGAAGGGGAGAGUCGUGCAACAAGGGUGAGUGCCAAGGAGGUGAAGUCGGAGUCGGAGAAAGGGGAGGUGACGAUGCAGGACGAAGGCGAAGCAGGGGAUGCGUUGGUGGCGGUGGAAUCCAUGGCACCGACGCAGAUCGACGUGAGGAUGGACGUGACACUCCUCCAUUGCCAGGGCUGCCUCCUCCCCCUCAAGCCCCCCGUGUUCAAGUGCGAUGCCGUAGGGCACGUAGUGUGCUACUACUGCCGUGCCGGGCACCGCACCGUCUGCAGCCGUGCCAACACCCACUGCGGCCAGCUGGACAAGGUGGUCGGCGCCGCCAAGGUGCCAUGCCCCUACAAGGCGUUCGGCUGCGAGCGCUACGUGGUGUUCCAUGAGGCUGCGGACCACCAGCGCGUGUGCCUGUCCGCGCCCUGCACCUGCCCGGAGUCCGCAUGCGCUUUCAUGGGCUCCCGCGCGAUGCUGGUCGACCACUUCGCCGCCGAUCACCAGCGCCCCGCCGUCACGGUCCGCUAUGGCCGGUCUUGGAGCCUAAGCUUCUCCCUGUCGCACGGCUGGCACCUGCUCGUCGGGGAGGAGGACCGCAGCGUGUUCCUCGUCUCCCUCUGCCUGCUCGGUGCGGGCACCGCCGUGUCACUGAUGUGCAUCAGGCCGGACGGCGAGGCUGAGACGGGGCCCCGGUUCUGGUGCAAGCUCUCCAUUGAGCGUCGUGGCGGCGACAAGGACUACGACCUAGUUCUCAUGACCUCGCCGGUGAUCAGCAACGCGCUGUCCACGUGCGCGCCGGCGUUGGGCCAGGGGAUGUUCUUGGUGGUGCCCCAGGAGCUGCUCUCCGGCGACAUGCUCACCCUCAGCGUCCGGAUCGAUCUGAUCCCACCUGCCGCCGUCGCUCCCAAGUCAACUACACCGCAGGCCAGGGUGCCGCGGAGGAUGCAGUGA